UGGGGAAUAUUGGACAAUGGGGGCAACCCUGAUCCAGCGAUGCCGCGUGAGUGAAGAAGGCCCUCGGGUCGUAAAGCUCUUUAGGCUGGGAAGAAGGGGAUGUGGUGAAUAGCCAUGUUUCUUGACGGUACCGGCAGAAUAAGCACCGGCAAACUCUGUGCCAGCAGCCGCGGUAAUACAGAGGGUGCGAGCGUUAAUCGGAAUUACUGGGUGUAAAGGGCGCGUAGGCGGCGGGAUGUGUGUGAUGUGAAAGCCCCGGGCUUAACCUGGGAAGUGCAUUGCAAACUGUCCUGCUGGAGUAUAUGAGAGGGUGGCGGAAUUUCCGGUGUAGCGGUGAAAUGCGUAGAGAUCGGAAGGAACGUCGAUGGCGAAGGCAGCCACCUGGCAUAAUACUGACGCUGAGGCGCGAAAGCGUGGGGAGCGAACAGGAUUAGAUACCCCCGUAGUCC
RNAcentral lists this ribosomal RNA (449 nucleotides) under uncultured bacterium. RNAcentral describes it as "bacterial SSU rRNA". It matches the Rfam family "Bacterial small subunit ribosomal RNA", at positions 355 to 796 of the family's 1533-position model. The record is from RNAcentral.